GACGAACGCUGGCGGCGUGCCUAAUACAUGCAAGUAGGACGCAGUUGCGAACGGGUGAGUAACGCGUAGGUAACUGCCCAUUAGAGGGGGAUAACUAUUGGAAACGAUAGCUAAUACCGCAUACUAGAAGAUGGACCUUCUGUGUAUUAGCUAGUAGGUAGGGUAAUGGCCUACCUAGGCUACGCAACAUAGCCGACCUUGGAUGGUGGUCGGCCACACUGGGAAUGAGACACGGCCCAGACUCCUACGGGAGGCAGCAGGAGGGAAUCUUCGGCAAUGGGGGGAAGCCUGACCGAGCAACGCCGCGUGAGUGAAGAAGGUUUUCGGAUCGUAAAGCUCUGUUGGUAAGGAAGCGGUACUUAACCAGAAAGGGACGGCUAACUACGUGCCAGCAGCCGCGGUAAUUC
RNAcentral lists this ribosomal RNA (407 nucleotides) under uncultured bacterium. Its description in RNAcentral is "partial 16S ribosomal RNA". It matches the Rfam family "Bacterial small subunit ribosomal RNA", at positions 28 to 526 of the family's 1533-position model. The record is from RNAcentral.